AACCGGUUUGACACCCCUGAUCUACGCUAUCAACUUAAUUCAUAGGUCAAUUAUCUCUUCCAUAUUUGUAGGGUUGUAAGCAGUAGAAUUUCACACCCUGCAGAAAACGGUGUGAAAUGGAUAUUACUCAGAAGAAGAAAUGGUCGGGAAUGAUUUUUAUGUGAAACACUGAGCUCCGGAAGGCGGAUGAACGGCAUGUUUUAAUGACAUGCAGUUAAUGUACUGCAAACUAAUCUACACCAGAUCGCACUGACCACAAAGCUAUGGACCGUCGUGUCACACUGGGCUGACUACUGUGGACAAAAUGUGGUACUUCACUGCCAUAAUGUGAGCCAAGGAUGAAUGGUGAGUGGAGAUGCAGCCAACCAACGACGGGCGUAUUUCAGGUGUUUUGGAAGCUGGGCCCAGCAAGGAGUACCACGAAUCAGGCAGCCCCGGAUAUGCUACAUUCCAUUGUCCUUGAAUGCAAUAGGCCUAGGCUAUAGCUUCCUCCUACUGUCAACUUUCAAAUUAUUGGCGCUCAAGGUUUUCAUUUUCUGACUGGUGCUUGAUCAAUUAAACACAAGGUAAGAAUACAUAUCCCGUAGGCAGACCAUUUGUGUCUGGAGUGAAGGAGGCGGUCAACAGGAUGAACUCAUUAGGACGGAGUGUGGUUGACGAAGGCGUCCUGUAGCCCUCAUGUGGAGACUGUACCACCGAUGAGAUCCACACGCUGGAUUAAAAGCAUACGGUAUGACAAUCAUAAAUGCAUUAGGUUAAAAGUUAUGUCAGGCUCACCUGGACCAGGAACACAGUUUAAAUAUUAUCAGAGGUCUGAUAAGUUAAUGGCUAAUGGGUCGGAAAUUUCUAUUUCGGUCUCUGGCAUAUUGGGUUAGUAAAGGCACAUGGCACACGUCGAUCCACCAAAACAUCUGAUCAUUGCAUGGGCAGAAGCCAUAGCACAGCACGAACCGACAUUUCUGGUUUACACAAGAAAAUAAAACACACCGGUGGUUUUGCUUCUGCUUAUAAAAUCUUAAAUACAUCUCUUGUACAAUGUUUUAUAUAUGUUGUACAAAAAGAACGAGGCAGAUGCAAUUCGGUACAAGGGGUUUAAUCUGCUGUAAUUUGACUACACAGACUCAAAUACAUUUGUACGUUUUUUCUCAUGGUAGGCUACAGCCACUGUCACACUGUAUGGAGCGAAUGGAACGACCUUUCAAAUUUCACCAGAAAGAUCAUUUAUCGACCUAUGGAUGUUUUAGACAUAAAUCCAUCAGUGCCAAGUGUACGUGUGUUUGCAGAUUGUGUUAACGAUUGCUUCACAAUAUUUUGUCUGUACCCUUUUCCUUUGGUUUACCGAGUCAAAUUCAUGUACAUGCAAGUGUAUUUGAAAAAUAACGAUUACGUUGUGUGUGGUGUUGAAAUGUGUAGCCUACACAACCAUUUAUUUCAGAAAGACAUCAUGCUAAUCACAGUGACAUUUUGGAUGGUUAGCGAUGCGCUCAACUUGAAUUUUAGCAAGCAUAAUGCAACUCAGCCACCUCUUAACGGAGUGGACGAGACAUGCUCGACCUCAUACACCAACCCAUGUAUUAACCAUGCAGCUUUGGCAACAGACUACCAAUAAAUAUUAGUACGAUCAAGUUGUUUAACAUUCUUCAUGCCAGCGUUAUAGUUCAGAGCACCCGGGGAGUGGCCGAUGUGCCACGGCAAACUGCUGUUCUGAUCUGUUUGUACACAACACAUCUCAGUGCCUGGAUAGCUCUCAUUGGUGUUACAUCGGCAAUACUCCGCGAACCCCUGAGAUGCUUUGUUGUUAUUAUAAACCAACGUGAUUACAAGAGUAAAAAGUUAUUUUCAUAGCCGUGGUAUACGGUCUCAAACCAACCAGUUUGUAGUCAAGUAGAUAAUAGGCUACAACGUAAGUAACGGAUCAUAUUUAACAAAACUCAAAUUAUCCUGUUAGAGAACUGUCAGUGUGGUUUACAAAUAUAUUGGAUACUUAAUACAAUCAAGUAUGUUGAAGGAAUGCUGGCUUGAGGCCUAAGGCUCAAGCAUGUUCCAUGUAGCCAGGGAGUUUAAUAGCA
Molecule: long non-coding RNA, 2069 nt
Organism: Esox lucius (northern pike)
Lineage: Eukaryota; Metazoa; Chordata; Actinopteri; Esociformes; Esocidae
Exons: 3
Source: RefSeq, a predicted model, not a curated record